This 301-nucleotide ribosomal RNA is filed under the name uncultured bacterium. RNAcentral describes it as "partial 16S ribosomal RNA". It matches the Rfam family "Bacterial small subunit ribosomal RNA", at positions 509 to 807 of the family's 1533-position model. The record is from RNAcentral.
CAGUCGCCGCGGGAAUGCGGAGGGUGCAAGCGUUAAUCGGAAUUACUGGGCGUAAAGCGCACGCAGGCGGUUUGUUAAGUCAGAUGUGAAAUCCCCGAGCUUAACUUGGGAACUGCAUUUGAAACUGGCAAGCUAGAGUCUUGUAGAGGGGGGUAGAAUUCCAGGUGUAGCGGUGAAAUGCGUAGAGAUCUGGAGGAAUACCGGUGGCGGAGGCGGCCCCCUGGACAAAGGCUGACGCUCAGGUGCGAAAGCGUGGGGAGCAAACAGGAUUAGAUACCCCUGUAGUCCCUGUCUCUUAUAC